RNAcentral lists this ribosomal RNA (253 nucleotides) under uncultured prokaryote. Its description in RNAcentral is "partial 16S ribosomal RNA". It matches the Rfam family "Bacterial small subunit ribosomal RNA", at positions 524 to 776 of the family's 1533-position model. The record is from RNAcentral.
GACGUAGGGGGCAAGCGUUAUUCGGAAUCAUUGGGCGUAAAGCGCUCGUAGGCGGAUCGAACAGUCGGUGAAGAAAGACCUGGGCUCAACUCAGGGAACGGCACCGAUACUAUCGGUCUUGAGGCAAUCAGAGGAUGAUGGAAUUCCCGGUGUAGCGGUGAAAUGCGUAGAUAUCCGGAGGAACACCAGUGGCGCAGGCGGCUCUCUGGGUCGACCCUGACGCUGAGGCACGAAAGCGUGGGGAGCGAACGGG